GAGGGUAGAGCUCAGUGGCAGAGCAUGUGCUUAGCAUGCACGAGGUCCUGGGUUCAAUCCCCAGGACCUCCA
This 72-nucleotide transfer RNA is filed under the name Camelus dromedarius (Arabian camel). It matches the Rfam family "tRNA". Rfam says of the family: Transfer RNA (tRNA) molecules are approximately 80 nucleotides in length. Their secondary structure includes four short double-helical elements and three loops (D, anti-codon, and T loops). The record is from Rfam by way of RNAcentral. Lineage: Eukaryota; Metazoa; Chordata; Mammalia; Artiodactyla; Camelidae. RNAcentral also lists the same sequence under 2 other names.